This 481-nucleotide ribosomal RNA is filed under the name uncultured bacterium. Its description in RNAcentral is "bacterial SSU rRNA". It matches the Rfam family "Bacterial small subunit ribosomal RNA", at positions 30 to 507 of the family's 1533-position model. The record is from RNAcentral.
UUGAACGCUGGCGGAAUGCUUUACACAUGCAAGUCGAACGGCAGCACGGACUUCGGGUCUGGUGCGAGUGGCGAACGGGUGAGUAAUAUAUCGGAACGUGCCCAAUAGUGGGGGAUAGCCCGGCGAAAGCCGGAUUAAUACCGCAUGAGACCUGAGGUGAAAGCGGGGAUCGCAAGACCUCGCGCUAUUGGAGCGGCCGAUAUCAGAUUAGGUAGUUGGUGGGGUAAAGGCCCACCAAGCCAACGAUCUGUAGCUGGUCUGAGAGGACGACCAGCCACACUGGAACUGAGACACGGUCCAGACUCCUACGGGAGGCAGCAGUGGGGAAUUUUGGACAAUGGGCGCAAGCCUGAUCCAGCCAUUCCGCGUGCAGGAUGAAGGCCCUCGGGUUGUAAACUGCUUUUGUACAGAACGAAAAGGUUUCUACUAAUACUAGGAGCUCAUGACGGUACUGUAAGAAUAAGCACCGGCUAACUACGUG